UGACAGUACUCCUACGGGGAGGCAGCAGUGGGGGAAUAUUGCACAAUGGGCGCAAGCCUGAUGCAGCCAUGCCGCGUGUGUGAAGAAGGCCUUCGGGUUGUUAAAGCACUUUCAGUCGUGAGGAAGGUAGUGUAGUUAAUAGCUGCAUUAUUUGACGUUAGCGACAGAAGAAGCACCGGCUAACUCCGUGCCAGCAGCCGCGGUAAUACGGAGGGUGCGAGCGUUAAUCGGAAUUACUGGGCGUAAAGCGCAUGCAGGUGGUUUGUUAAGUCAGAUGUGAAAGACCCGGGGCUCAACCUCGGAAUAGCAUUUGAAACUGGCAGACUAGAGUACUGUAGAGGGGGGUAGGAAUUUCAGGUGUAGCGGUGAAAUGCGUAGAGAUCUGAAGGAAUACCGGUGGCGAAGGCGGCCCCCUGGACAGAUACUGACACUCAGAUGCGAAAGCGUGGGGAGCAAACAGGAUUAGAUACCCUGGUAG
This 478-nucleotide ribosomal RNA is filed under the name uncultured bacterium. RNAcentral's name for it is "bacterial SSU rRNA". It matches the Rfam family "Bacterial small subunit ribosomal RNA", at positions 328 to 793 of the family's 1533-position model. The record is from RNAcentral.